This 75-nucleotide transfer RNA is filed under the name Patescibacteria group bacterium. RNAcentral's name for it is "tRNA-Asn". It matches the Rfam family "tRNA". Rfam says of the family: Transfer RNA (tRNA) molecules are approximately 80 nucleotides in length. Their secondary structure includes four short double-helical elements and three loops (D, anti-codon, and T loops). Further hydrogen bonds mediate the characteristic L-shaped molecular structure. tRNAs have two regions of fundamental functional importance: the anti-codon, which is responsible for specific mRNA codon recognition, and the 3' end, to which the tRNAs corresponding amino acid is attached (by aminoacyl-tRNA synthetases). tRNAs cope with the degeneracy of the genetic code in two manners: having more than one tRNA (with a specific anti-codon) for a particular amino acid; and 'wobble' base-pairing, i.e. permitting non-standard base-pairing at the 3rd anti-codon position. The record is from RNAcentral.
UCCCCUGUAGCUCAACGGCAGAGCGGCUUCCUGUUAAGAAGAAGGUUGGAGGUUCGAAUCCUCCCGGGGGAGCCA